CUCUUUAAGAAAUAAUUUAAAGUACUACCUGCUCAAUGAUUUAUUAAAUAGCCGCAGUGAUACUGUGCUAAGGUAGCAUAAUAACUAGCUUUCUAAUUAAAAGAUCGUAUGAAAGGUAAGACGAAAAAUAACUGUUUCAUUAGUUAAUAAUAAAUUUAAUUAAUUAGUCAAAACUCUAAUAUAAAUAUGAAAGACGACAAGACCCUAAUAAACUUAACAUUUUGUUGGGGCAACAAAACAAAAAUACCUUUUAUUAAAAAUAAAACCGUACAAUACUAACAAAAAUAGUUACUAUAGGGAUAACAGCGCAAUUCUUUUUCAAAGCCCUUAUCCAAAAAAGACAUUACGACCUCGAUGUUGAAUUAAUUAUCUUUUUUAGUGCAAAAGCUAAAAAAGUAGGGUCUGUUCGACCUUAAAUAAAUU
RNAcentral lists this ribosomal RNA (423 nucleotides) under Smeringopina moudouma. RNAcentral describes it as "partial 16S ribosomal RNA". The record is from RNAcentral. Lineage: Eukaryota; Metazoa; Arthropoda; Arachnida; Araneae; Pholcidae.